RNAcentral lists this ribosomal RNA (853 nucleotides) under Hebeloma cylindrosporum. RNAcentral's name for it is "eukaryotic LSU rRNA". It matches the Rfam family "Eukaryotic large subunit ribosomal RNA", at positions 82 to 920 of the family's 3401-position model. Lineage: Eukaryota; Fungi; Basidiomycota; Agaricomycetes; Agaricales; Hymenogastraceae. The record is from RNAcentral.
AGUAACUGCGAGUGAAGCGGGAAAAGCUCAAAUUUAAAAUCUGGCGGUCUCUGGCCGUCCGAGUUGUAAUCUAGAGAAGUGUUAUCCGCGCUGGACCGUGUACAAGUCUCCUGGAAUGGAGCGUCAUAGAGGGUGAGAAUCCCGUCUUUGACACGGACUGCCAGGGCUUUGUGAUGCGCUCUCAAAGAGUCGAGUUGUUUGGGAAUGCAGCUCAAAAUGGGUGGUAAAUUCCAUCUAAAGCUAAAUAUUGGCGAGAGACCGAUAGCGAACAAGUACCGUGAGGGAAAGAUGAAAAGAACUUUGGAAAGAGAGUUAAACAGUACGUGAAAUUGCUGAAAGGGAAACGCUUGAAGUCAGUCGCGUUGGCCGGGGAUCAACCUUGCUUUUGCUGGGCGUACUUUCCGGUUGACGGGUCAGCAUCAAUUUUGACYGUUGGAUAAAGUCCAGGGGAAUGUGGCAUCUUCGGAUGUGUUAUAGCCCUUGGUCGCAUACAACGGUUGGGAUUGAGGAACUCAGCACGCCGAAAGGCCGGGUACUUGUACCACGUUCGUGCUUAGGAUGCUGGCAUAAUGGCUUUAAUCGACCCGUCUUGAAACACGGACCAAGGAGUCUAACAUGCCUGCGAGUGUUUGGGUGGAAAACUCGGACGCGUAAUGAAAGUGAAAGUUGAGAUCCCUGUCGCGGGGAGCAUCGACGCCCGGACCAGACCUUUUGUGACGGAUCCGCGGUAGAGCAUGUAUGUUGGGACCCGAAAGAUGGUGAACUAUGCCUGAAUAGGGUGAAGCCAGAGGAAACUCUGGUGGAGGCUCGUAGCGAUUCUGACGUGCAAAUCGAUCGUCAAAUUUGGGUAUAG